GACAUCAGGAGGUUAGUGCAAUGGCAUAAGCCAGCGUGACUGCGAGCGUGACGGCGCGAGCAGGUGCGAAAGCAGGUCAUAGUGAUCCGGUGGUUCUGAAUGGAAGGGCCAUCGCUCAACGGAUAAAAGGUACUCCGGGGAUAACAGGCUGAUACCGCCCAAGAGUUCAUA
RNAcentral lists this ribosomal RNA (171 nucleotides) under Escherichia coli. RNAcentral's name for it is "partial 23S ribosomal RNA". It matches the Rfam family "Bacterial large subunit ribosomal RNA", at positions 2334 to 2504 of the family's 2925-position model. Lineage: Bacteria; Pseudomonadati; Pseudomonadota; Gammaproteobacteria; Enterobacterales; Enterobacteriaceae. The record is from RNAcentral.